This is a non-coding RNA of Marasmius tenuissimus, 109 nucleotides long. NCBI's taxonomy places the organism in Eukaryota, Fungi, Basidiomycota, Agaricomycetes, Agaricales, Marasmiaceae. The record is from the annotation of a GenBank genome assembly.
UCCGUUAUGUUAUGGUGUAGUGGCUAACAUUAUUGCCUCUCGUACUGUUCUACAUUUGUCCACUGAAUAAAGGACGCGAUAGCCCAGGGUUCGAUUCCCUGUAACGGAA